GGGGUCGUCGGCUAGUCUGGUCCAGGCUUCACCUCGGGCGCUUGAGAGCGCCGGUUCAAAUCCGGCCGACCCCA
RNAcentral lists this transfer RNA (74 nucleotides) under Nitrososphaerota archaeon. RNAcentral describes it as "Thaumarchaeota archaeon tRNA-Pro". It matches the Rfam family "tRNA". From Rfam's summary of the family: Transfer RNA (tRNA) molecules are approximately 80 nucleotides in length. Their secondary structure includes four short double-helical elements and three loops (D, anti-codon, and T loops). The record is from RNAcentral. Lineage: Archaea; Thermoproteati; Nitrososphaerota.